GUGGCUGAGCCCCUGACCUUUGUGCCUAGUGGUCAUCAAUUCUGUUUACCUCCCCUCUGUGUCCAGACUCGGAGCUGCCCAUGAAGCCAAAGAGGAUCCGUGUGUUCUGCCUGGACAGAGCUGGGGGGGUGACCAUGGGCCCACAGGUGUCCCCCUCAGUCCCAUCGGGCAGCCAAGCUCACCCCACACAGACUGAUGGAUUGUGAGUUCGCAGUGUCCAGAACUGAGAAUCCACAAUGGGAGAUAAGUCAGCAGAGGAAACAUCGAAAACCAGUCGGGAGGAAAGUCUAACCCAAGUUCAACACAAAGUGCACAGUGGUAAACACACCCUGGGUGGGGAGAAAGGAGGAGCCCUUGGUGGAGACACCAGCCAGGGGUACAGCUGGGUCUGAGCUUGGGGAAGGCAGGGGAAUAAGGCUGCCCCAUGGACAGGAGUCAGCUCAAGCCAGGCAGGGCCAGCCAGUGGGGCUGCCCGCUUUCUCCAGAAGGGGGCCAUGCUGGGCUCCAGGGAGAGCCAGUGUUUGCACAAGGACAGGGUACCCUAAAUUGUCCCUCUCUGUGGCCCCAGGAGCAGCUUGAAUUUAUCAGCAAAACCAGAGAGGAGCCCCAGGGGAGUUGUCCCCAUUCCUCCCCAUGUACUCGGAGCUCAAGGACAUUCGCAGGCUGAGAAUCACCAGAAUGCAGGUGUCAUCCAAAAACACCAGCUGACCAAUCACCGGAUGCUGCCACAACAGGACACCAGGACAGGAGUGGGAAUGACUUUCCAUAUGCAGACUUCACACCAUUUGCUUCCUAUUCUGGGUAAACAGUCAUGCUGGGCUUGGUCAGGAAGGCAAAGGUAAUCAACAAGCACCCUGUUGCCAGGGUGUGGAACGAUACUCUGAACAGACCCACAUCUGUGACUCUGCAGGUCCCCACUAAAGAGGAUGACUUAGUUGGCCUCCCUUGUGUGGCUUCCUGUGACACAGUCCGAGCAGCAGUGCUGCAGGGCUCAGACAAAGUGGGGAGCUCCUGAGGGGCUCCAGCUGAUUUGGGGAGCCUGGGCGUUUGCUCAGGUUCAGAUGAGACAAAGAUAACUCAAAAGACAAUUUCAGACCUGAGAGGGACUCAGUGACCUUCCCUUGGCUGUCUUGCUGCAUUCUCUACAUAUCAUCCGCCAUCACCUGUGCUGGAUUGAUUCCUCCCGAGACAAGUCCUGAAAUAACAUCCAAGUGCAGGCAGCAGAUUUGGGAGUUUAUCCGAGGAGCCCUGUGUGGGGUGGGUAUAAGAAGGGCAGCAGUAAAUCUAGUUGCCCUCAUGGUCAACCAGAGAGGGACCCCACUUGGGAACACUUGAGUUUCAGUGUGCAAGCAACAGGGCAGGUAGCAGGGCGUGGGGACAUAUAGGCCAUUCCCAUGGUGGCUGGUGGAAGGCACUGGCUGCAGGUAGGGCAUUCAUUCUCUCUACAUUCCAGUCUGAAUGGUUGGGCAAAUCAGAUACUGGAGGCCAGAAAG
This 1493-nucleotide long non-coding RNA is filed under the name Marmota monax (woodchuck). Lineage: Eukaryota; Metazoa; Chordata; Mammalia; Rodentia; Sciuridae. The record is from RNAcentral.